This 449-nucleotide ribosomal RNA is filed under the name uncultured bacterium. Its description in RNAcentral is "partial 16S ribosomal RNA". It matches the Rfam family "Bacterial small subunit ribosomal RNA", at positions 330 to 795 of the family's 1533-position model. The record is from RNAcentral.
UCCAGACUCCUACGGGAGGCAGCAGUAGGGAAUUUUGCGCAAUGGGCGAAAGCCUGACGCAGCAACGCCGCGUGAUUGAUUAAGCCCUUCGGGGUGUAAAGAUCUGUCAGUGGGGACGAAACUUGACGGUACCCACAGAGGAAGCACCGGCUAACUCCGUGCCAGCAGCCGCGGUAAUACGUAGGGGGCGAGCGUUGUCCGGAAUCACUGGGCGUAAAGGGAGCGUAGACGGCCAAGCAAGCCAGGGGUGAAAGCCCGGGGCCCAACCCCGGGACUGCCCUUGGAACUGCAUGGCUGGAGUGCGGGAGGGGCAGGCGGAAUUCCUGGUGUAGCGGUGAAAUGCGUAGAUAUCAGGAGGAACACCGGUGGCGAAGGCGGCCUGCUGGACUGCGACUGACGUUGAGGCCCGAAAGCGUGGGGAGCAAACAGGAUUAGAUACCCCUGUAUUU